Molecule: ribosomal RNA, 253 nt
Filed under: Escherichia coli
Lineage: Bacteria; Pseudomonadati; Pseudomonadota; Gammaproteobacteria; Enterobacterales; Enterobacteriaceae
Description: partial 23S ribosomal RNA
Rfam family: Bacterial large subunit ribosomal RNA
Source: RNAcentral
CGGGAGACACACGGCGGGUGCUAACGUCCGUCGUGAAGAGGGAAACAACCCAGACCGCCAGCUAAGGUCCCAAAGUCAUGGUUAAGUGGGAAACGAUGUGGGAAGGCCCAGACAGCCAGGAUGUUGGCUUAGAAGCAGCCAUCAUUUAAAGAAAGCGUAAUAGCUCACUGGUCGAGUCGGCCUGCGCGGAAGAUGUAACGGGGCUAAACCAUGCACCGAAGCUGCGGCAGCGACGCUUAUGCGUUGUUGGGUA